RNAcentral lists this long non-coding RNA (487 nucleotides) under Mytilus galloprovincialis (Mediterranean mussel). The record is from RNAcentral. Lineage: Eukaryota; Metazoa; Mollusca; Bivalvia; Mytilida; Mytilidae.
GUGCGUUUUGAAUCCAAUUAUUCUUUCCAUGCCUGAUAUUUGUCUCAUUAUAUUGGAGUUGAUACACAUGCUAAUUGCAACUGCUCAGUCCAUACCUUCGUCCCUCUAUCGUUUUACGUGUCUGGGUUUGUUAUUUGUCUUUAUAUUUCGUCGUUUGUUUGUACACUGUCAGUCUGUGCUGUUUUAGUUCGCUUGGUUUUUUUUUUUUUUUUUUUGUGUCUUGAUUUACAUUUGUACCUUCUUUCACUAGAUCUUCGGUUUUCCCCUUUCACGUAUCAGGGGAGUGAGGUUUCACCACAAUUAACUACAUACAUAAAUAUAUUGGAGUUGGAUUACACUACCCACCCUCUUUGGUCGCAACACUUUCUACCCCUUGUGUCACUCAUCUGAGUUUUAUCUAAAUUGAUUUUGUCGCAGAAAUAAGGGACUAAUGUGGCGUCAGUCAAAAUGAGAAAAACAAAGACAAAUACCUACCCAGAUCCUUAAA